This 3182-nucleotide ribosomal RNA is filed under the name Candidatus Moraniibacteriota bacterium. Its description in RNAcentral is "23S ribosomal RNA". It matches the Rfam family "Bacterial large subunit ribosomal RNA". The record is from RNAcentral. Lineage: Bacteria; Candidatus Moraniibacteriota.
GAGCGGUAAUACUAAUGCAUAUGGCGGAUGCCUUGACAUUAAAAAGCGAUGAAGGACGUAGCUGGCUGCGAUAAGCUUCGGGGAAGUGCUAAGCAACUUUUGAUCCGGAGAUUUCCGAAUGGGAUAACCCCCUCUUUUAGAGGAUCCAUAACUGAAUACAUAGGUUAUGGAAGCGCACCCUGGGAACUGAAACAUCUUAGUACCAGGAGGAAUAUAAAUCAAUUGAGAUUCCGUGAGUAGUGGCGAGCGAAAACGGAAAAGUCUAAACCGAAUCCUUCGGGGUUCGGGGUUGCGAGGUAAUUUUACUCUUUUAAUAGGGGUUUGAGAUUAUUUCUUUAGCAGAACACUCUGGAAAGAGUGACCAUAGUGGGUGAUAGUCCCUUAUGCGAAAAAGAAAUGUCCGAAUGUAAUUAUUCUCAAGUAGGGCGGGACCGGAGAAAUCCCGUUUGAAUCAGGGGCCACUAUAGCUCCAAGACUAAAUAUUUUUAAUGAUCGAUAGUGAACUAGUACCGUGAGGGAAAGGUGAAAAGUAUCCCGAUAAGGGAGAUGAAAUAGUAUCUGAAACCAUAUGCUAACAAAGAGUCAGAGUGGUAGUAAUACCAUGAUGGCGUGCUUUUUGUAGAACGAACCAACGAGUUAAUUCUGUAUUGUCUGACUAAGCUACUUUCGUAGUGGAGUCAUAGUGAAAGCGAGCCUUAACGGGCGACAUGAUAGUGCGGAUUAGACCCGAAGCCAGGUGAGCUAUUUAUGAGCAGGGUGAAUUUCGAGUAAAAUCGAAAGGAGGCCCGAACCCACGAGCCGUGCAACACUCGGGGAUGACUUGUGAAUAGAGGAGAAAUUCCAAUCGAACUUGGCGAUAGCUGGUUCUUCCCGAAAUAGCUUGAGGGCUAGCGUCCUUUAAAUGAGCACAAGAGGUAGAGAUACUGAAUGAGAAUCCGCGGUUCGCCGUAGGCUUCUCAACCAAACUCCGAAUUCUUGUGUUUCUUAUCUGGGCAGUCAGAACUCCGGGGCUAAGCUCGGAGCUCAAAACGGAAACAGCCGAGAUCGCAAUCUAAGGUCCCUAAAUUCAUAUUAAGUGGUAAAGGAGGUGAAGUUUCUUAUACACCUAGAAGGUUGGCUUAGAAGCAGCCAUCCUUUAAAGAGUGCGUAACAGCUCACUAGUCUAGAGACUUCGCGCCGAAAAUUCAACGGGGCUAAAUAUGAUACCGAAGAUGCGGGCUUGCAAUCUUCUUAAAAGGAAUAACUAAAUGAAGCGUGAAUUUUAUCAAAUUUCACGCAAGCGCUACAACAUGAUGGUAGCUUUUAAGUUGUGCUUUUUAAGAAGAUUGUGAGCGGUAGGGAAGUGUUCCAUGCGCACUGAAGCGGAAGGCGUGAGCCACCGUGGAGUGCAUGGAAGUAAGAAUGUUGGUAUUAGUAACCGCAAUUGGGGUGAGAUCCCCCGACACCGAAAGUCUAAGGUUUCCUGGGCAAUGUUGAUCAACCCAGGGUCAGUCGGUCCUAAGGCGAGGUCGAAAGACGUAGUCGAUGGACACAAGGUUAAUAUUCCUUGACUAUUUAAUGUCACGGUAUGGGAGGACGCAAUCUAGUAUAUUUUGCAUCUUAUUGGAUUGAUGUAGACAUAGUGAGGGUGCUUUUCAGGUAAAUCCGGAAGGUAUAGCCCAAGUUAUGGCUGGAGGUUUUUCUUCGGAAAGACCAACAAAAUAAAGCAGGUUGUCUAGAAAAGUCUCUAAACUUAUCAUUAAAUAUCCGUACUAAAACCGACACAGGUAGACUGGGCGAGUAGCCUAAGGUGAACGAGUGAUCCUCCGUUAAGGAACUCGGCAAAAAAGCUAGACGUAAGUUCGCAAAAUGUCUCGCCUAUAUCGCAAGGUAUAGGCCGCAGCGAAAGUUUCCCAAGCAACUGUUUACCAAAAACACAGGUCUCUGCAAACCCGCAAGGGGAAGUAUAGGGGCUGACGCCUGACCAGUGCUGGAACGUUAACGGGAGCGGUGCAAGCCAAUCCCCGAAGCGCCAGUGAACGUCGGCGAUAACUAUAAUCGUCCUAAGGUAGCGAAAUUCCUUGUCAGGUAAAUUCUGACCCGCAUCAAUGGCGUAAUGACUUGGGAACUGUCUCAACGGAGAGCUCGGUGAAAUUGCAAUGACGGUAAAGAUGCCGUCGACCUGCAGCAAGACGAAAAGACCCCGUGGAGCUUUACUACAACUUGGCAUUGAUUUAGAAUUUUAGUUGUCGAGCUUAGGUGGGAGACUAUGAAAUCCGGACGCUAGUCCAGAUGGAGUCAACAGUGGAAUACCACCCUGCUGAAGUUUUAAGUCUAACCCUGGACUGUUAUGAGGAACAAAAAUCUUCGUUACAUGUAAACCAGCAAAUGACAAAACUAAUUGCAUAAGUUGUAAAUAAAGAUCUAAUUGUUCGUAAGAAUGAUUGGAUUUAUUAGUAUUGUCUUUUGCGGUUCACAAAAAAAAUGUAUACGACGUUUUUAGUUAUUCAUACCAGUCCGGGAACAGUGCCUGGCGGGUAGUUUGACUGGGGCGGUCGCCUCCUAAAUGGCAACGGAGGCGUUUACAAAGGUUGGUUAGGUCCGGAUGGAAAUCGGACUGAUAGUGCAAAAGCAUAAACCAGCUUUACUGAGAGACCCAUCAGUCGAUCAGUUACGAAAGUAGAAUUUAGUGAACCGACUAUCGCUUAUAGGAGCGUAGAAGAUCAUCAGAUAAAAGUUACCCCGGGGAUAACAGGCUGAUCCCAUCCAAGAGUCCAUAUCGACGAUGGGGUUUGGCACCUCGAUGUCGGCUCAUCGCAUCCUGGGGCUGGAGAAGGUCCCAAGGGUUUGGCUGUUCGCCAAUUAAAGCGGUACGUGAGCUGGGUUCAAACCGUCGUGAGACAGGUUGGUCUCCUAUCUGCUGUGGGCGUUGUUGCUUGAAAAGAGUCUUUCCUAGUACGAGAGGACCGGAAAGAACAAACCUCUGGUGUAUCAGCUGUUCCGCCAGGAGCACUGCUGAGUAGCUACGUUUGGAAAGGAUAACCGCUGAAAGCAUAUAAGCGGGAAGCCUCCUUUAAGAUAAGGCAACUGUUGGAGCUUGCUCCAACAUAAUUUCCUAGAAGAUGACUAGGUUGAUAGGUCUCAGAUAUAAGUGCAGUAAUGCAUUAAGUCGAGAGAUACUAAUAAAUUAAAAUUACACUCUU